UCCUCGAUAGUAUAGUCGUUAGUAUCCCCGCCUGUCACGCGGGAGACCGGGGUUCAAUUCCCUGUCGGGGAG
Molecule: transfer RNA, 72 nt
Filed under: Petromyzon marinus (sea lamprey)
Lineage: Eukaryota; Metazoa; Chordata; Hyperoartia; Petromyzontiformes; Petromyzontidae
Description: tRNA-Asp (GTC) (tRNA-Asp-GTC-17-1, tRNA-Asp-GTC-17-2)
Rfam family: tRNA
About the family: Transfer RNA (tRNA) molecules are approximately 80 nucleotides in length. Their secondary structure includes four short double-helical elements and three loops (D, anti-codon, and T loops).
Source: RNAcentral